GACGAACGCUGGCGGCGUGCUUAACACAUGCAAGUCGAACGGAAAGGCCCUGCUUUUGUGGGGUGCUCGAGUGGCGAACGGGUGAGUAACACGUGAGUAACCUGCCCUUGACUUUGGGAUAACUUCAGGAAACUGGGGCUAAUACCGGAUAGGAGCUCCUGCUGCAUGGUGGGGGUUGGAAAGUUUCGGCGGUUGGGGAUGGACUCGCGGCUUAUCAGCUUGUUGGUGGGGUAGUGGCUUACCAAGGCUUUGACGGGUAGCCGGCCUGAGAGGGUGACCGGCCACAUUGGGACUGCGAUACGGCCCAGACUCCUACGGGAGGCAGCAGUGGGGAAUAUUGCACAAUGGGCGGAAGCCUGAUGCAGCGACGCCGCGUGCGGGAUGACGGCCUUCGGGUUGUAAACCGCUUUCGCCUGUGACGAAGCGUGAGUGACGGUAAUGGGUAAAAAAGCACCGGCUAACUACGUG
RNAcentral lists this ribosomal RNA (468 nucleotides) under uncultured bacterium. Its description in RNAcentral is "partial 16S ribosomal RNA". It matches the Rfam family "Bacterial small subunit ribosomal RNA", at positions 28 to 507 of the family's 1533-position model. The record is from RNAcentral.